GAUGAACGCUGGCGGCGUGCCUAAUACAUGCAAGUCGAGCGAACGGACGAGAAGCUUGCUUCUCUGACGUUAGCGGCGGACGGGUGAGUAACACGUGGAUAACCUACCUAUAAGACUGGGAUAACUUCGGGAAACCGGAGCUAAUACCGGAUGAUAUUUUGAACCGCAUGGUUCAAUAGUGAAAGACGGUCUUGCUGUCACUUAUAGAUGGAUCCGCGCUGCAUUAGCUAGUUGGUAAGGUAACGGCUUACCAAGGCAACGAUGCAUAGCCGACCUGAGAGGGUGAUCGGCCACACUUGAACUGAGACACGGUCCAGACUCCUACGGGAGGCAGCAGUAGGGAAUCUUCCGCAAUGGGCGAAAGCCUGACGGAGCAACGCCGCGUGAGUGAUGAAGGUCUUCGGAUCGUAAAACUCUGUUAUUAGGGAAGAACAUAUGUGUAAGUAACUGUGCACAUCUUGACGGUACCUAAUCAGAAAGCCACGGCUAACUACGUG
RNAcentral lists this ribosomal RNA (497 nucleotides) under uncultured bacterium. Its description in RNAcentral is "partial 16S ribosomal RNA". It matches the Rfam family "Bacterial small subunit ribosomal RNA", at positions 28 to 507 of the family's 1533-position model. The record is from RNAcentral.